This 218-nucleotide long non-coding RNA is filed under the name Elaeis guineensis (African oil palm). RNAcentral's name for it is "long non-coding RNA (EGUI_LNC071040)". Lineage: Eukaryota; Viridiplantae; Streptophyta; Magnoliopsida; Arecales; Arecaceae. The record is from RNAcentral.
AACAUUAAGUAAAUUGUUAUGUCACAUUUUUUCCUUCUUUUUCCAAGCAAAUGAACUUAUAAACAAAUUUCAAAUUUUUAGUAAAUUUUAAAUUUAUCUUCAAACUGCUUAUGAUGCAUUUCGUUACAAUACUUGGCUAUAAUAUCUAAGUGAUGCAUCUUCAUAAAUUUAAAAUUUAUGUUCAAUGCUUUCUAUAUGCUUUUGCUCAAGCAUUUUGU